CUCUCACCCGACCCUUAGUUGUUUUUAUAUAAACCCUUUCUCCUCCUCUCUCAAUCACCUUCAAUCUCUCUCUUUCUCUCCCUCUGGAUCCCCAAUCUCAUCCCCAAUAUUUUGUUUGUUGAUUCUCAUCUUCUCUUUUGUCUUUUCAACAACUCGUCAUUUAAAGGCUUCCAAGAACAGUAACCUUAAUUCCUCCAGAAGAGAGAGAAAGCAAAGAUCCCUUCAAUUCCAUUUUCGUACAUGCAAAUCACAAUCCAUGCUUUAGAUUGCUUCUAUUCCUCCUUAUUUAUUGCUUACGAUCUGUUUAUGCAUGUCCAGGUGGAGAGAGCAUUACUUAAAAAUAGAAUUAGACACAUCUGUUUUAGGCAGUUAGUUUCCAUACAUGACACAAGUAUACAUCAUGACGCAUAUAGAUAGAUGCUAUAUAUAUAUAUAUAUAUAUAUAUUGUAUAUGUAUGCCUGGCUCCCUGUAUGCCAUACAAUGAGCUCAUCGAGUAUCGAUGACCUUCGUGGAUGGCGUAUGAGGAGCCAUGCAUAUCCUCACAUACAUAUAUAUAUAUACAUUUCUCUCUAAAUAUCUUAUGGUAACUAAGUAGAUUUUCUCUAAUUGUCUUAUUUUUUUUGUAGAAGUUCUUGAUAGUUGAUCCAAUCAUGUGUAGAAGAUUAUAAGGUAACUCACACGAAACCAUACGGUCCAUACACAUAUGCUUUCAGCUUUCUUCUCGUGGUUUCCCAUAUAUUUCAUUGUUAGAUAUUUUGGUGACCCUCUGAUUCCGUUCCAGUCCUUCGAUUCGUAUUUUUUGCAGUACAAAUGUUUGUCAUGUCACAGCACUUUUUACGAGGAUUCCUUCUGUGUUCACAUCAGUGUACUCCUUUGUUUUUUUUAUAAAGGAUUAAUUAUAUCGAUAGCUAAUUAUUACAUUCCCGUACGGUUCAGAUUCUUUUGUAUCGUUUCAAUCAUAUCGAUUUUAUAAAUCUAUUUGUAUAUGUAUAUCAUUGUGACCUACCUUAUAACUUAGUUGUAUUUAUUAAAUUGUGGUUUUAUCACACAAUUGUCUACACAUGCACGAAGUUGCAUCACACAUUUUUGACUUUGUUUCGUGAGGUAUUGCAAUGAUUACAUCUGGUUUAUUGAUCUCACAUUGAAAAUGCCACAUAUUAUAGUUUCGUAAUAAAACUCCUUACUAAUUACUUAAUUAUAUAGGUAGAAGUUAUAUAAAGUUAAGAAGCUGUGAGAUUUGUUUACAAUUAGACUAGCUAAAUUUGUG
Molecule: long non-coding RNA, 1268 nt
Filed under: Eutrema salsugineum
Lineage: Eukaryota; Viridiplantae; Streptophyta; Magnoliopsida; Brassicales; Brassicaceae
Description: long non-coding RNA (ESAL_LNC001978)
Rfam family: mir-160 microRNA precursor family (bases 454-538)
Source: RNAcentral